GAUGAAGAACGUAGCGAAAUGCGAUAAGUAAUGUGAAUUGCAGAAUUCAGUGAAUCAUCGAAUCUUUGAACGCACAUUGCGCCCCUUGGUAUUCCAUGGGGCAUGCCUGUUCGAGCGUCAUUUGUACCUUCAAGCUUUGCUUGGUGUUGGGUGUUUGUCUCGCCUCCGCGUGUAGACUCGCCUCAAAACAAUUGGCAGCCGGCGUAUUGAUUUCGGAGCGCAGUACAUCUCGCGCUUUGCACUCACAACGACGACGUCCAAAAGUACAUUUUUACACUCUUGACCUCGGAUCAGGUACGGAUACCCGCUGAACUUAAGCAUAUCAAUAAGCGGAGGA
This 337-nucleotide unclassified non-coding RNA is filed under the name soil metagenome. RNAcentral's name for it is "partial contains 5.8S ribosomal RNA, internal transcribed spacer 2, and large subunit ribosomal RNA". The stretch from base 1 to 120 matches the Rfam family "5.8S ribosomal RNA", at positions 35 to 154 of the family's 154-position model. The record is from RNAcentral.